This 301-nucleotide ribosomal RNA is filed under the name uncultured bacterium. Its description in RNAcentral is "partial 16S ribosomal RNA". It matches the Rfam family "Bacterial small subunit ribosomal RNA", at positions 509 to 807 of the family's 1533-position model. The record is from RNAcentral.
CAGCAGCCGCGGUAAUACGAAGGGGGCUAGCGUUGUUCGGAUUUACUGGGCGUAAAGCGCAUGUAGGCGGACUUUUAAGUCAGGGGUGAAAUCCCGGGGCUCAACCCCGGAACUGCCUUUGAUACUGGAAGUCUUGAGUAUGGUAGAGGUGAGUGGAAUUCCGAGUGUAGAGGUGAAAUUCGUAGAUAUUCGGAGGAACACCAGUGGCGAAGGCGGCUCACUGGACCAUUACUGACGCUGAGGUGCGAAAGCGUGGGGAGCAAACAGGAUUAGAUACCCCGGUAGUCCCUGUCUCUUAUAC